Molecule: long non-coding RNA, 381 nt
Organism: Ostrea edulis (European flat oyster)
Lineage: Eukaryota; Metazoa; Mollusca; Bivalvia; Ostreida; Ostreidae
Exons: 3
Source: RefSeq, a predicted model, not a curated record
UAGAGGAAGAAAAGGUCAGCAUCAUAACCAUAUCACGCAUCAAAGAUCCAAGAAAGGAGUUUUGCCAGUAUAAAGUUGGGGAUUUGGUGAAAGCCAGCUGCCAUGGCUUUUCUGGCGUGCAUCCCGCCAAGAUCUUAGAUGAUGGAGCUGAUGCCUGGUAGUGGGAUCUACAUUUAUCCCAAAGAUAUACAAGCUUUAUAUAAGCCAAAAAAAAAAAAACAAGUGGAACUUUUCAGGAAGGGGAACCUAACUGGUGCAAAUGAAAAGACCAUUUUAAACACUAUUCCUGACGAUGCCGGGAUUCAGAGGCCAUUGUCAAGUUUUCGAUGAGGACCAAGAUUAGUUCCCAAGUCAGCCUCCAGAACAUGAAACAGACCUAGC